GAUGAACGCUAGCGGGAGGCUUAACACAUGCAAGUCGAGGGGCAUCACGAGGUAGCAAUACUUUGGUGGCGACCGGCGCACGGGUGAGUAACACGUAUGCAACCUUCCCUGUACAGGGGGAUAACCCGGAGAAAUUCGGACUAAUACCCCAUGAUAAUAUUAUGGGGCAUCCUUUAAUAUUUAAAGCUCUGGCGGUACAGGAUGGGCAUGCGCGACAUUAGCUAGUUGGUAAGGUAACGGCUUACCAAGGCGACGAUGUUUAGGGGACCUGAGAGGGUUGUCCCCCACACUGGUACUGAGACACGGACCAGACUCCUACGGGAGGCAGCAGUGAGGAAUAUUGGUCAAUGGGCGCAAGCCUGAACCAGCCAUCCCGCGUGAAGGAAGAAUGCGCUACGCGUUGUAAACUUCUUUUCCAGGGGGAGAAUAAUCCUGUCGUGACAGGACUUGACGGUACUCUGGGAAUAAGCAUCGGCUAACUCCGUGCCAGCAGCCGCGGUAAACUGUCUACG
RNAcentral lists this ribosomal RNA (512 nucleotides) under uncultured bacterium. RNAcentral describes it as "bacterial SSU rRNA". It matches the Rfam family "Bacterial small subunit ribosomal RNA", at positions 28 to 534 of the family's 1533-position model. The record is from RNAcentral.